AUGCGAGUUCGAUUCGUUCUUUGCAAGAAAGAUGCUUAUACUAAAAAGGAAUCUAUAACUUUGAUUCAAGCAGUUUAUGUACCUGCAGACGAUUUGACCGACCUUGCUACUGCCACAACAUUUGCACAUUUUGAUGCUACUACCGUACUUUCCAGAGGAUUAGCUUCCAAGGGUAUUUAUCCAGCAGUAGAUCCUUUAGAUUCAACCUGAACUAUGUUGCAGCCUCGGAUCGUUGGCAACAGACAUUAUUAAACUGCGCAAAGAGUUAAAAAAAACUUUACAACUUUACAAGAACUUCAGGACAUUAUCGCAAUUCUUGGCUUGGAUGAAUUACCAGAAGAGGAUCGUUUAACUCUAGCAAGAGCAAGAAAAGUUGGGUGUUUCUUAUCACAACCGUUCUUUGUGGCAGAAGUUUUUAUUGGUUUUCCAGGAAAGUGGUGCCGAACAGGAGCUCCCUGA
Molecule: ribosomal RNA, 459 nt
Filed under: Triticum aestivum (bread wheat)
Lineage: Eukaryota; Viridiplantae; Streptophyta; Magnoliopsida; Poales; Poaceae
Description: partial small subunit ribosomal RNA
Source: RNAcentral